This 422-nucleotide ribosomal RNA is filed under the name uncultured bacterium. RNAcentral's name for it is "bacterial SSU rRNA". It matches the Rfam family "Bacterial small subunit ribosomal RNA", at positions 29 to 435 of the family's 1533-position model. The record is from RNAcentral.
AACGAACGCUGGCGGCGUGCCUAACACAUGCAAGCCGUGCGAGAAAGUUCCUUCGGGAGCGAGUAAAGCGGCGCACGGGUGAGUAACACGUAGGUAACCUGCCCCCCAGUCUGGAACAACUAGAGGAAACUCUAGCUAAUGCCGGAUGAGACCACGAUCCCUUCGGGGUUGCGGCCAAAGAUGGCCUCUACUUGUAAGCUAUCGCUGAGGGAUGGGCCUGCGGGCCAUUAGCUUGUUGGUGAGGUAACGGCUCACCAAGGCUGUGAUGGCUAGCUGGUCUGAGAGGAUGACCAGCCACACUGGGACUGAGACACGGCCCAGACUCCUACGGGAGGCAGCAGUGGGAAUAUUGCGCAAUGGGCGAAAGCCUGACGCAGCGACGCCGCGUGGGUGAUGAAGGCCUUCGGGUCGGUAAAGCCCGU